AUCUACGGCCAUGCCACCCUGAACGUGCCCAAUCUUGUCUGAUCUUGGAAGCUAAGCAGGGUUGGGCCUGGUUAGUACUUGGAUAGGAGACUACCUAGGAAUACCAGGUGCUGUAGGUG
This 119-nucleotide ribosomal RNA is filed under the name Pteropus alecto (black flying fox). The record is from RNAcentral. RNAcentral also lists the same sequence under 1 other name. Lineage: Eukaryota; Metazoa; Chordata; Mammalia; Chiroptera; Pteropodidae.